RNAcentral lists this ribosomal RNA (392 nucleotides) under uncultured bacterium. Its description in RNAcentral is "partial 16S ribosomal RNA". It matches the Rfam family "Bacterial small subunit ribosomal RNA", at positions 523 to 918 of the family's 1533-position model. The record is from RNAcentral.
AUACGGAGGAUCCGAGCGUUAUUCGGAUUUAUUGGGUUUAAAGGGUGCGCAGGCGGCCAUUUAAGUCAGCGGUUAAAUCGUGGGGCUCAACCCCAUUCUGCCGUUGAUACUGGGUGGCUUGAUUGCGGUCGAGGUUGGCGGAAUUCGUUGUGUAGCGGUGAAAUGCAUAGAUAUGACGAAGAACACCGAUUGCGUAGGCAGCUGACCAGAUCGCAAAUGACGCUCAUGCACGAAAGUGCGGGGAUCGAACAGGAUUAGAUGCCCUGGUAGUCCGCACAGUAAACGAUGAAUACUUGUUUUCGGCGAUAUAAUGUCGGAGGCAAAGCGAAAGCGAUAAGUAUUCCACCUGGGGAGUACGCCGGCAACGGUGAAACUCAAAUGAAUUGGCGGGG